GAUGAACGCUGGCGGCGUGCCUAACACAUGCAAGUCGAGCGAACAGACGUGGAGUUCGUUCCGUCGUCGUUAGCGGCGGACGGGUGAGUAACACGUAGGUCACCUAUCUAUAAGACCGGGCUAACUUCGGGAAACCGGAGCUAAUACCGGAUAAUAUUUAGAACCGCAUGGUUCGAUAGGGAAAGAUGGCCGUGCUUUUACUUAUAGAUGGUCCUGUGCCGUCUUAGCAGGUUGGUAAGGUAGCGGUUGACUAAGGCAACGAUGCGUAGCCGACCUGAGAGGGUGAGCGGCCACACUGGAACUGAGACACGGUCCAGACUCAUACGGGAGGCAGCAGUAGGGAAUCUGAAGCAAUGGGCGAGAGCCUGACGGAGCAACGCCGCGUGAGUGAUGAAGGUCUUCGGAUCGUAAAACUCUGUUAUUAGGGAAGAACAAACGUGUAAGUAACUGUGCACGUCGUGACGGUACCUAAACAGAAAGCCACGGCUAACUACGUG
Molecule: ribosomal RNA, 497 nt
Filed under: uncultured bacterium
Lineage: Bacteria
Description: partial 16S ribosomal RNA
Rfam family: Bacterial small subunit ribosomal RNA
Source: RNAcentral